GACGAACGCUGGCGGCGUGCUUAACACAUGCAAGUCGAACGGAAAGGCCCUGCUUUUGUGGGGUGCUCGAGUGGCGAACGGGUGAGUAACACGUGAGUAACCUGCCCUUGACUUUGGGAUAACUUCAGGAAACUGGGGCUAAUACCGGAUAGGAGCUCCUUCUGCAUGGUGGGGGUUGGAAAGUUUCGGCGGUUGGGGAUGGACUCGCGGCUUAUCAGCUUGUUGGUGGGGUAGUGGCUUACCAAGGCUUUGACGGGUAGCCGGCCUGAGAGGGUGACCGGCCACAUUGGGACUGAGAUACGGCCCAGACUCCUACGGGAGGAAGCAGUGGGGAAUAUUGCACAAUGGGCGGAAGCAUGAUGCAGCAACGCCGCGUGCGGGAUGACGGCCUUCGGGUUGUAAACCGCUUUCGCCUGUGACGAAGCGUGAGUGACGGUAAUGGGUAAAGAAGCACCGGCUAACUACGUG
Molecule: ribosomal RNA, 468 nt
Filed under: uncultured bacterium
Lineage: Bacteria
Description: partial 16S ribosomal RNA
Rfam family: Bacterial small subunit ribosomal RNA
Source: RNAcentral